CAGGACGACGCUGGCGGCGUGCCUAAUACAUGCAAGUCGAACGGUCUUUCUAUGGAAGCUUGCUUCCGCUGAGAAGAUAGUGGCGAACGGGUGAGUAACACGUGGGUAACCCUGCCCAUAAGAGGGGGGAUAACAUCCGGAAACGGGUGCUAAUACCGCAUAGUUUUCUUGAUCGCAUGAUCGGGAAAGGAAAGACGGCCUUUGUGCUGUCGCUUAUGGAUGGACCCGCGGCGUAUUAGUUAGUUGGUGAGGUAACGGCUCACCAAGACGAUGAUACGUAGCCGACCUGAGAGGGUGAUCGGCCACAUUGGGACUGAGACACGGCCCAAACUCCUACGGGAGGCAGCAGUAGGGAAUCUUCCGCAAUGGACGAAAGUCUGACGGAGCAACGCCGCGUGAGUGAAGAAAAGGUUUUCGGAUCGUAAAACUCUGUUGUCAGAGAAGAACAAGUUGGAGAGUAACUGCUCCAGCCUUGACGGUAUCUGACCAGAAAGCCACGGCUAACUACGUGCCAGCAGCCGC
Molecule: ribosomal RNA, 522 nt
Filed under: uncultured bacterium
Lineage: Bacteria
Description: bacterial SSU rRNA
Rfam family: Bacterial small subunit ribosomal RNA
Source: RNAcentral